AAUGUGUGUCUGACUACCUCUAGAGGUGAUCAGGAAGAUCUGAUCACAAUGUGUUUCUGACUACCUCUAGAGGGGAUCAGGAAGAUCUGAUCACAAUGUGUUUCUGACUACCUCUAGAGGGGAUCAGGAAGAUCUGAUCACAAUGUGUCCUUUGUUUUGUCUACAUCGGUCCAAAAAGAAAUGUGGACAAGAUCAGGACAAAGGACGCAUGUUAGAACCAGGUAUAAACAGGGCUUCUGUGAGAGGAAAGAGACAGGAUGCGUUUAGUGAAUUCACCCCUAGGGGGCAGCCUCUGCAUUGAGAAGUGAUAACCAUCCUAAAUCAAGAGACACCACUUUGUCAAUCACAACAUGUCACUUGACCUCUUGUAUUUUAAAGAACAUUGUUUUCCAUUCCCGCUGUAGAAAUCUUAUUGACUAAAGAAAAACAACAACCAGACGUCAUGGUUUCUGCAGAACCAGUUUCUCCACAUUUCAGCCUGUCAUCCAGAACCUUCCAGUUGACAAGGAAACAACGGAACUUUCCAGGUUGAAGCUCACUGGACGCAGUAACAAAAAUAAGAAGACUGUAUAAAAAUGUUUUUAAAUGAGGAACAUUGAACCGUAUGUUGGCUUAUUUUUCAGGGCGUUUCACUAUGAAAAUACAGUGUCAUCAGAAAGUAUUCAUACCCCUUGACUUAUUCCAUGUUAUUCCAUGUUAUUCCACUUAUUCCAACAGCCUGAAUUCCAAAUUGAUUUGAUGCUGGUGAGAGGGGAGGACGGCUCAUAAUAAUGUCUGGAAUGGAGUGAGCGGAACGGUACCAAACACAUGUGACGGCCCCCAGCUCCCCUCUCAGCCCCCCUGUCUCCCCCACGCUGUCUCCCCCACCCUGUCUCCCCCACGCUGUCUCCCCCACCCUGUCUGCCCCAGAGCUGCCUUCUGGUGGUAAGAAGGGGGAGUGCACCGUCUGUUUCGACCAGGAAGUGGACACGGUCAUCUACACCUGCGGACACAUGUGUCUGUGUAACAACUGUGGGCUAAAGCUGAAGAGACAAGUGAAUGCCUGCUGUCCUAUCUGCCGCAGGCCCAUUAAAGACGUCAUCAAGACAUACAGACCAUGAGAGGACUGGGACAUUACUGGGACAUUACUGGGACAUUACUGCAGCAGGCCUAUUAAAGACGUCAUCAAGACAUACAGACCAUGAGAGGACUGGGACAUUACUGGGACAUUACUGCAGCAGGCCCAUUAAAGACAUCCCAUUAAAGACAUCAUCAAGACAUACAGACCAUGAUGUCUGGGACAUUACUGGGACAUUACUGCAGCAGGCCCAUUAAAGACGUCCCAUUAAAUACAUCAUCAAGACAUACAGACCAUGAUGUCUGGGACAUUACUGGGACAUUACUGCAGCAGGCCCAUUAAAGACGUCCCAUUAAAGACAUCAUCAAGACAUACAGACCAUGAUGUCUGGGACAUUACUGCAGCAGACAUUGUCUAGAGCAGGGAUAUUCAACUCUGACCCUACGAGAUCUGGAGUACUGCUGGUUUCCUGUUCUACGUGAUAAUUCAUUUCACACCUGUUGUCCCAGGUCUAAAUCAGGCCCUGAUUAGAGGGGAAUCACCCACCUGUUGUCCCAGGUCUAAAUCAGUCCCUGAUUAGAGGGGAAUCACCCACCUGUUGUCCCAGGUCUAUAUCAGUCCCUGAUUAGAGGGGAAUCACCCACCUGUUGUCCCUGGUCUAAAUCAGUCCCUGAUUAGAGGGGAAUCACCCACCUGUUGUCCCUGGUCUAAAUCAGUCCUUGAUUAGAGGGGAAUCACCCACCUGUUGUCCCAGGUCUAUAUCAGUCCCUGAUUAGAGGGGAAUCACCCACCUGUUGUCCCAGGUCUAUAUCAGUCCCUGAUUAGAGGGGAAUCACCCACCUGUUGUCCCUGGUCUAAAUCAGUCCCUGAUUAGAGGGGAAUCACCCACCUGUUGUCCCUGGUCUAAAUCAGUCCCUGAUUAGAGGGGAAUCACCCACCUGUUGUCCCAGGUCUAUAUCAGUCCCUGAUUAGAGGGGAAUCACCCACCUGUUGUCCCAGGUCUAAAUCAGUCCUUGAUUAGAGGGGAAUAUUUUUUUUUAAAGCAGUGGAACUGGCUUUGAGGUCCAGAUGUAUAUUUGAAGGUUAUAGAGACAGACUGGACACCAUUGCAACAGGCGCAUCAAGGUCAUCAUUAAGCCUGACCAUCCAUGAGAGGACAAACUACUGGGACAGGGCUCUGUCUGCACCCCAGAGACGUCUCUUACCAAACUGGACACUCUACACUACGGCAGGUCCAUCACGGACCUCCCACAUCAAGACAUAUUGGCCCUGAUAGACUGGACACACUACACUACGGCAGGUCCAUCACGGACCUCCCACAUCAAGACAUAUUGGCCCUGAUAGACUGGACACACUACACUACGGCAGGUCCAUCACGGACCUCCCACAUCAAGACAUAUUGGCCCUGAUAGACUGGACACACUCUCUCUCUCUCUACCCGAGACUCUCUCUCUCUCUCUACCUGAGACUCUCUCUCUCUACCUGAGACUCUCUCUCUCUCUCUACCUGAGACUCUCUCUCUCUCUACCCGAGACUCUCUCUCUCUCUCUACCUGAGACUCUCUCUCUCUCUCUACCCGAGACUCUCUCUCUCUCUCUCUCUCUACCGAGACUCUCUCUCUCUCUCUACCUGAGACUCUCUCUCUCUACCCGAGACUCUCUCUCUCUCUCUACCCGAGACUCUCUCUCUCUCUCUCUACCUGAGACUCUCUCUCUCUACCCGAGACUCUCUCUCUCUCUCUCUCUACCCGAGACUCUCUCUCUCUCUCUCUCUCUACCUGAGACUCUCUCUCUCUCUCUCUACCCUCUCUCUCUCUCUACCCACUCUCUCUCUCUCUCUCUACUCGAGACUCUCUCUCUCUCUCUACCCAAGACUCUCUCUCUCUCUCUACCUGAGACUCUCUCUCUCUCUCUCUACCCGAGACUCUCUCUCUCUCUCUACCCGAGACUCUCUCUCUCUCUCUCUCUACCCGAGACUCUCUCUCUCUCUACCUGAGACUCUCUCUCUCUCUCUACCCGAGACUCUCUCUCUCUCUCUACCCGAGACUCUCUCUCUCUCUCUACCCGAGACUCUCUCUCUCUCUCUACCUGAGACUCUCUCUCUCUCUCUCUACCUGAGACUCUCUCUCUCUCUAUCCUCUCUCUCUCUCUCUCUCUCUACCUGAGACUCUCUCUCUCUCUCUACCCGAGACUCUCUCUCUCUACCCGAGACUCUCUCUCUCUCUCUCUCUCUACCCGAGACUCUCUCUCUCUCUCUACCUGAGACUCUCUCUCUCUACCCGAGACUCUCUCUCUCUCUCUCUCUCUCUCUACCCGAGACUCUCUCUCUCUCUCUACCUGAGACUCUCUCUCUACCCGAGACUCUCUCUCUCUCUCUCUACCUGAGACUCUCUCUCUCUCUCUACCCGAGACUCUCUCUCUCUCUCUCUCUCUCUCUCUACCUGAGACUCUCUCUCUCUACCCGAGACUCUCUCUCUCUCUCUCUCUCUCUCUACCUGAGACUCUCUCUCUCUCUCUACCCGAGACUCUCUCUCUCUCUCUCUCUCUCUACCUGAGACUCUCUCUCUCUCUCUACCCGAGACUCUCUCUCUCUCUCUACCUGAGACUCUCUCUCUCUACCCGAGACUCUCUCUCUCUCUCUCUACCUGAGACUCUCUCUACCAUAGCUGAGGGCGGCAGGGCUUUCUUUUCCUGUUUGUCUGCCUGUCACAUGGUUUUUCUAAAUGUGUGGUUUUAACCCUUCACGUGUUGGAAGGACUCUUCUGUGAGUCACCACUCUGCCAAAUACCUUCUAUCUUUGUGCCUUAGACAAUGUUUGUCAAAUGUCUUCAUGUCCAAGUUCUAAAUAUGAUGACAAUGCUAUUUGUAAAUGAAGGUGUUGUGGAAUUAAUGAAGAAUGGUCACUGCGGACAGCUUAUGCAAAAUAAAAAGAGACUGUUUAUGUCAUGUUUCUAAAUGAGAAAAAUAUAUAACCUUACGUUGGCGAAUUGUUCAGGGCUUUUUACUAUGAAGAGAAAGAUGUUUGAACAAGACAUGCAGAGUGUUAUUAAAUGAAACGUGCUGUA
Long non-coding RNA from Oncorhynchus nerka (sockeye salmon), 4121 nucleotides. RefSeq lists it as uncharacterized. The record is from RefSeq and is a predicted model, not a curated record. The transcript is spliced from 2 exons. Lineage: Eukaryota; Metazoa; Chordata; Actinopteri; Salmoniformes; Salmonidae.